Non-coding RNA from Acanthosepion pharaonis, 113 nucleotides. The record is from the annotation of a GenBank genome assembly. Lineage: Eukaryota; Metazoa; Mollusca; Cephalopoda; Sepiida; Sepiidae.
UUACAGCCAUAUCAUAUCGAAACACCGGAUCUUGUAUGAUCACUGAAGUUAAGCAACAUCAAGCCUGGUCACUACCUAGACGGGUGACCACUUGGGAAUACCAGGUGCUGUAA